This 400-nucleotide ribosomal RNA is filed under the name uncultured bacterium. RNAcentral describes it as "bacterial SSU rRNA". It matches the Rfam family "Bacterial small subunit ribosomal RNA", at positions 358 to 775 of the family's 1533-position model. The record is from RNAcentral.
GGAAUAUUAGUAAUGGGCGAAAGCCUGAACUAGCAACGCCGCGUGUGCGAAGAAGGCCUUCGGGUUGUAAAGCACUUUUUGAGAGGAUGAGGAAGGACGGUACUCUCAGAAUAAGUCUCGGCUAACUACGUGCCAGCAGCCGCGGUAACACGUAGGAGGCGAACGUUAUCCGGAUUUACUGGGCGUAAAGCGCGUGUAGGUGGUUUGGUAAGUAGGGCGUGAAAGCUCCUGGCUCAACUGGGAGAGGCCGUUCUAAACUGCCGAACUAGAGGAUGGUAGAGGGAGGUGGAAUUCCGGGUGUAGCGGUGGAAUGCGCAGAUAUCCGGAGGAACACCAGUGGCGAAAGCGGCCUCCUGGACCACUCCUGACACUCAGACGCGAAAGCUAGGGUAGCAAACGG